AUUGAACGCUGGCGGCAGGCUUAACACAUGCAAGUCGAGCGGGGUGAUGGUGCUUGCACUAUCACUUAGCGGCGGACGGGUGAGUAAUGCUUAGGAAUCUGCCUAUUAGUGGGGGACAACAUCUCGAAAGGGACGCUAAUACCGCACACGUCCUACGGGAGAAAGCAGGGGAUCACUUGUGACCUUGCGCUAAUAGAUGGGCCUAAGUCGGAUUAGCUAGUUGGUGGGGUAAAGGCCUACCAAGGCGACGAUCUGUAGCGGGUCUGAGAGGAUGAUCCGCCACACUGGGACUGAGACACGGCCCAGACUCCUACGGGAGGCAGCAGUGGGGAAUAUUGGACAAUGGGGGGAACCCUGAUCCAGCCAUGCCGCGUGUGUGAAGAAGGCCUUAUGGUUGUAAAGCACUUUAAGCGAGGAGGAGGCUCUUUUGGUUAAUACCCAAGAUGAGUGGACGUUACUCGCAGAAUAAGCACCGGCUAACUCUGUGCCAGCCGCCGCCGUAA
RNAcentral lists this ribosomal RNA (503 nucleotides) under uncultured bacterium. RNAcentral describes it as "partial 16S ribosomal RNA". It matches the Rfam family "Bacterial small subunit ribosomal RNA", at positions 30 to 523 of the family's 1533-position model. The record is from RNAcentral.